RNAcentral lists this ribosomal RNA (2902 nucleotides) under Klebsiella pneumoniae. Its description in RNAcentral is "23S ribosomal RNA". It matches the Rfam family "Bacterial large subunit ribosomal RNA". The record is from RNAcentral. Lineage: Bacteria; Pseudomonadati; Pseudomonadota; Gammaproteobacteria; Enterobacterales; Enterobacteriaceae.
GGUUAAGCGACUAAGCGUACACGGUGGAUGCCCUGGCAGUCAGAGGCGAUGAAGGACGUGCUAAUCUGCGAAAAGCGUCGGUAAGGUGAUAUGAACCGUUAUAGCCGGCGAUGUCCGAAUGGGGAAACCCAGUGCAAUUCGUUGCACUAUCGUUAACUGAAUACAUAGGUUAACGAGGCGAACCGGGGGAACUGAAACAUCUAAGUACCCCGAGGAAAAGAAAUCAACCGAGAUUCCCCCAGUAGCGGCGAGCGAACGGGGAGCAGCCCAGAGUCUGAAUCAGCUUGUGUGUUAGUGGAACGGUCUGGAAAGUCCGACGGUACAGGGUGAUAGUCCCGUACACCAAAAUGCACAGGUUGUGAACUCGAAGAGUAGGGCGGGACACGUGGUAUCCUGUCUGAAUAUGGGGGGACCAUCCUCCAAGGCUAAAUACUCCUGACUGACCGAUAGUGAACCAGUACCGUGAGGGAAAGGCGAAAAGAACCCCGGCGAGGGGAGUGAAAAAGAACCUGAAACCGUGUACGUACAAGCAGUGGGAGCACCUUCGGGUGUGACUGCGUACCUUUUGUAUAAUGGGUCAGCGACUUAUAUUCUGUAGCAAGGUUAACCGUAUAGGGGAGCCGCAGGGAAACCGAGUCUUAACUGGGCGUUAAGUUGCAGGGUAUAGACCCGAAACCCGGUGAUCUAGCCAUGGGCAGGUUGAAGGUUGGGUAACACUAACUGGAGGACCGAACCGACUAAUGUUGAAAAAUUAGCGGAUGACUUGUGGCUGGGGGUGAAAGGCCAAUCAAACCGGGAGAUAGCUGGUUCUCCCCGAAAGCUAUUUAGGUAGCGCCUCGUGAAUUCAUCUUCGGGGGUAGAGCACUGUUUCGGCUAGGGGGUCAUCCCGACUUACCAACCCGAUGCAAACUACGAAUACCGAAGAAUGUUAUCACGGGAGACACACGGCGGGUGCUAACGUCCGUCGUGAAGAGGGAAACAACCCAGACCGCCAGCUAAGGUCCCAAAGUCAUGGUUAAGUGGGAAACGAUGUGGGAAGGCACAGACAGCCAGGAUGUUGGCUUAGAAGCAGCCAUCAUUUAAAGAAAGCGUAAUAGCUCACUGGUCGAGUCGGCCUGCGCGGAAGAUGUAACGGGGCUAAACCAUGCACCGAAGCUGCGGCAGCGACACUAUGUGUUGUUGGGUAGGGGAGCGUUCUGUAAGCCUGCGAAGGUGUGCUGUGAGGCAUGCUGGAGGUAUCAGAAGUGCGAAUGCUGACAUAAGUAACGAUAAAGCGGGUGAAAAGCCCGCUCGCCGGAAGACCAAGGGUUCCUGUCCAACGUUAAUCGGGGCAGGGUGAGUCGACCCCUAAGGCGAGGCCGAAAGGCGUAGUCGAUGGGAAACAGGUUAAUAUUCCUGUACUUGGUGUUACUGCGAAGGGGGGACGGAGAAGGCUAUGUUAGCCGGGCGACGGUUGUCCCGGUUUAAGCAUGUAGGCUGAUUGUCCAGGCAAAUCCGGAUAAUCAAGGCUGAGGUGUGAUGACGAGGCACUACGGUGCUGAAGUAACAAAUGCCCUGCUUCCAGGAAAAGCCUCUAAGCAUCAGGUAACAUCAAAUCGUACCCCAAACCGACACAGGUGGUCAGGUAGAGAAUACCAAGGCGCUUGAGAGAACUCGGGUGAAGGAACUAGGCAAAAUGGUGCCGUAACUUCGGGAGAAGGCACGCUGGUGUGUAGGUGAAGUCCCUGCGGAUGGAGCUGAGACCAGUCGAAGAUACCAGCUGGCUGCAACUGUUUAUUAAAAACACAGCACUGUGCAAACACGAAAGUGGACGUAUACGGUGUGACGCCUGCCCGGUGCCGGAAGGUUAAUUGAUGGGGUUAUCCGUAAGGAGAAGCUCUUGAUCGAAGCCCCGGUAAACGGCGGCCGUAACUAUAACGGUCCUAAGGUAGCGAAAUUCCUUGUCGGGUAAGUUCCGACCUGCACGAAUGGCGUAAUGAUGGCCAGGCUGUCUCCACCCGAGACUCAGUGAAAUUGAACUCGCUGUGAAGAUGCAGUGUACCCGCGGCAAGACGGAAAGACCCCGUGAACCUUUACUAUAGCUUGACACUGAACAUUGAGCCUUGAUGUGUAGGAUAGGUGGGAGGCUUUGAAGCGUGGACGCCAGUCUGCGUGGAGCCAACCUUGAAAUACCACCCUUUAAUGUUUGAUGUUCUAACGUUGGCCCCUGACCGGGGUUGCGGACAGUGUCUGGUGGGUAGUUUGACUGGGGCGGUCUCCUCCCAAAGCGUAACGGAGGAGCACGAAGGUUAGCUAAUCCUGGUCGGACAUCAGGAGGUUAGUGCAAUGGCAUAAGCUAGCUUGACUGCGAGCGUGACGGCGCGAGCAGGUGCGAAAGCAGGUCAUAGUGAUCCGGUGGUUCUGAAUGGAAGGGCCAUCGCUCAACGGAUAAAAGGUACUCCGGGGAUAACAGGCUGAUACCGCCCAAGAGUUCAUAUCGACGGCGGUGUUUGGCACCUCGAUGUCGGCUCAUCACAUCCUGGGGCUGAAGUAGGUCCCAAGGGUAUGGCUGUUCGCCAUUUAAAGUGGUACGCGAGCUGGGUUUAGAACGUCGUGAGACAGUUCGGUCCCUAUCUGCCGUGGGCGCUGGAGAAUUGAGGGGGGCUGCUCCUAGUACGAGAGGACCGGAGUGGACGCAUCACUGGUGUUCGGGUUGUCAUGCCAAUGGCACUGCCCGGUAGCUAAAUGCGGAAGAGAUAAGUGCUGAAAGCAUCUAAGCACGAAACUUGCCCCGAGAUGAGUUCUCCCUGAGACUUUAAGUCUCCUGAAGGAACGUUGAAGACGACGACGUUGAUAGGCCGGGUGUGUAAGCGCAGCGAUGCGUUGAGCUAACCGGUACUAAUGAACCGUGAGGCUUAACCUU